RNAcentral lists this ribosomal RNA (277 nucleotides) under uncultured bacterium. RNAcentral describes it as "partial 16S ribosomal RNA". It matches the Rfam family "Bacterial small subunit ribosomal RNA", at positions 81 to 354 of the family's 1533-position model. The record is from RNAcentral.
CUUGCCGCCGGCGACCGGCGCACGGGUGAGUAACACGUAUGCAACCUGGCCGUGACAGAUGGAUAACCGGGAGAAAUCCCGCCUAAUACAACAUAAUGCCGGGAGGGGACAUCCCCUGCCGGCCAAAGGGGGCGACCCCGGUCACGGAUGGGCAUGCGGCGCAUUAGGUAGUUGGUGGGGCAACGGCCCACCAAGCCGACGAUGCGUAGGGGUUCUGAGAGGAAGGUCCCCCACAUUGGAACCGAGACACGGUCCAAACUCCUACGGGAGGCAGCAG